This 1106-nucleotide long non-coding RNA is filed under the name Oncorhynchus kisutch (coho salmon). Its description in RNAcentral is "lncRNA (ENSOKIG00005050778.1)". Lineage: Eukaryota; Metazoa; Chordata; Actinopteri; Salmoniformes; Salmonidae. The record is from RNAcentral.
CUAGACCUAUCCAUAACCCUAUCCCAGCCAGUUCUAUUGUGUGAGACAAUCACUCAGCAGCUGUGGCCCAUUUGUAAAAGGGAGUGACCUGCAUGCUUAACUCGUGGCUACGUAAGAGACCAUGUCUACCAGGGGAAUUAGCAGAUCAGCUCACAGAGCAACAGAUGUGGCCCACACCCAUUCGAGGGAGAGAGAAAAAAAAACACAUUGCGCAUGGGUCUCCAACUUAACACCACUGUCAACUUAACAGCAAAGCAGUUGCACAAAUUCAUCAAGAAAAGGGAGUUAACGAAAAACGUAUUGUUUGACUUGGAAUGGCACUGACUGACAUCAUCAUGAAGGCAUCAACCACAGCAGGUCCGGCAAUAACCAUGACAUCGCCAGAAGCCUUCGAACAAGGAAUCAUUGAGGACGUCACCCGUCUGGUCACACAGAAUUUCACAGAACACUUCACACAACCCUUCAGAGCUGGAGUUCUGACAACAACUUCUGCAGAUAUGACUGAAACAAACUCAGCCGCUUUUUUAGUGGGAGCCGCCCACGUAGAGGAUGGAUCCUUUGAAGCCAUUUUCGGAGGAGUCAUUUUUGCCCUGUUCCUGGCGCUGCUCCUGGCGUUGCUGAUACUGCGCUACAUUGUCAAGCAUAAGGGCACUUACCACACCAACGAGGCCGACUGUGGUGAUUCCGUAAACAAGUUUGGCGUGGAAGAGUUGAGCUCUCCAACAGCAUCCAUCUGUGAUGAGCAUGUCCUGCACUGAAACCUAGCCACUGAACACCUCUACCCCUGUCCUGCACUGAAACCUAGCCACUGAACACCUCUACCCCUGUCCUGCACUGAAACCUAGCCACUGAACACCUCUACCCCUGUCCUGCACUGAAACCUAGCCACUGAACACCUCUACCCUGUCCUGCACUGAAACCUAGCCACUGAACACCUCUACCCCUGACCUGCACUGAAACCUAGCCACUGAACACCUCUACCCUGUCCUGCACUGAAGCCUCUGAACACCUCAAACCCUGACCUGCACUGAAGUCAAGCCUCUCGAACAACUCAGCUCAUGUCUUAUAACCUCAUUCAGUCACUGCUGUGAUCCCUUCCCAACACU